UCAGGGUGGAAGAGCUGG
Molecule: unclassified non-coding RNA, 18 nt
Filed under: Mus musculus (house mouse)
Lineage: Eukaryota; Metazoa; Chordata; Mammalia; Rodentia; Muridae
Description: oocyte_clustered_small_RNA10866
Source: RNAcentral